CUACGGGUUGCUGCAGUGGGGAAUAUUGCACAAUGGAGGAAACUCUGAUGCAGCAACGCCGCGUGGAGGAUGACACUCUUCGGAGCGUAAACUCCUUUUAUAUAGGAAGAUAAUGACGGUACUAUAUGAAUAAGCGCCGGCUAACUCCGUGCCAGCAGCCGCGGUAAUACGGAGGGCGCAAGCGUUACUCGGAAUCACUGGGCGUAAAGAGCGUGUAGGCGGAUUAAAAAGUCAGAAGUGAAAUCCUAUAGCUUAACUAUAGAACUGCUUCUGAAACUCUUAAUCUAGAAUAUGGGAGAGGUAGAUGGAAUUUCUGGUGUAGGGGUAAAAUCCGUAGAGAUCAGAAGGAAUACCGAUUGCGAAGGCGAUCUACUAGAACAUUAUUGACGCUGAGACGCGAAAGCGUGGGGAGCAAACAGGAUUAGAUACCCCUGUAGUC
RNAcentral lists this ribosomal RNA (439 nucleotides) under uncultured bacterium. RNAcentral describes it as "partial 16S ribosomal RNA". It matches the Rfam family "Bacterial small subunit ribosomal RNA", at positions 339 to 795 of the family's 1533-position model. The record is from RNAcentral.